GCACAGCAAAUAACGGCAAAACCACCUGACCCCGGACUGAUUUACCCCGCCAUACGCAUCGGUCUACGGAACCGAAGCUUAGAGGUUCGAAUCCUCUGGGGUGUA
This 105-nucleotide transfer RNA is filed under the name bacterium. Its description in RNAcentral is "tRNA-Arg". RNAcentral also lists the same sequence under 1 other name. The record is from RNAcentral.